GCUGCAAAGCCACCCCCCCUUCCGCCCCUGCCCUCCCGAGCCCCAGGGAAAAUGCUUUCCAGCAUUGUCGAGCUUCUGAAAGACAAAACUUGUGAUUUGACACUUGCAUCCAGAAAAGGUUUCUGUCUAAAUUAGCAAAUGCCUCAAUUGUUCUUGGUUACAUCCCAUGACCGGUUUCAGGCAGCGACUUUAUAAUGCUUUUAGGAUUUUCUUGUACAAUGGUGAGAAAAUAGGCAGGUCUGAUAGUGGUUUCACUUUUUUUUUCUACUUCACGUUCCAUAAGAUUCUUUUAUGCAAGCACUUGUUUUAAAAUUCUACUGUAAGCGUUUAUGGUUCACUUUUUUUUUCUUUGCAGCACCCGUGACUUUUUUUUCCCUCUAAAUCGGGAGUAAAUAUAGCUGAGUAAAAUUACCUUGAUUUUCUUCCUUCUUUUUUAACUGAAUUGUUUUUAUUAAAAAUCCUAUUUGAAUAUGUAGAAAAAGCGGGGAUGUCUUGUAAUAUAUCGUAGCUUUUCUUGUUUACAGGAUACUCAGAAAAUAUGUCUCCCUUAGAGUCCCACAGAAACGUUCUCAGUGCGAUCUCUAUCAAGUGCUAUGAGUCUUGAUCAAUUGGAGAAGAGCCCAAGAGAAAUUUUUCAUCCCUUGAUAUAAAAGGGAUCGGUGAAUUUUAACUUUGGAGUCCCCUAUGCUAAGGAUGCUCAGCUUACAGGUGAUGAAAUGUUCAGUAAUGUAUUUGCUGCAGCUCUGCUUACCCAAGCUUUGGGUUCCUUCUGUCCCACUGGGAGUUGCCCAAUUUGGUUGCAUCUGGUGAAAUUCACCCUGAGACCUUACAGAAGCAGCUCCAACUACGUGAGAGCCAUUUGCAGUUCUCUCCAGACGCCUGGAGAAUGGGCGACGUUUCUGAGGAUCCGGCGAGCGUGCUUCUGUCAAAACUCAGUCUGUGAAAUUCCUGGGGAAAACCCUUCUGUGUCCUGAAGGGUUCAAACUCUGGUGAGGAUCCAGUUAUCAGGUGCUCACCUGGAUGGUUCCAGCUCCCAAAGGGAAAGACUCUCGUGUCCUUGUCGUCGGGCUCAGUGCUGUCCAAGAAGAUACGGGGACUAAAAAAAUCAUAAGAAGCAAAAUAGGACUGCAGGGAAAAGAAGCUGGAGAGAACAGAAGACUCAUCACGGCGGGACAGCGUGAAGACUGAAAGUGUAAGAAGAUGUGGAGGGAAAGAGAGAAUCUGACAGGAGCAUCGGACGCACGAGUGCACGAAUUUUGCUUUUUUGCUUGGAUGUAAACUCAGGCGUUGAAAGGAAUUUGGGAGUGAGAAGGGACAUUUCAGAAGGAGAAGAAGCAAAAGAAGUUGUUGUUGUUGUUACAGUCCUGGCAAAAUCUUUUGUUCUAGCUAAUAAAAGAAGUUAGUUUAAAAAACAAAAAGGAAAAAAUGUAGUGGUUUUUUUU
This is a long non-coding RNA of Melospiza melodia melodia, 1442 nucleotides long. RefSeq lists it as uncharacterized. The transcript has 6 exons. The record is from RefSeq and is a predicted model, not a curated record. NCBI's taxonomy places the organism in Eukaryota, Metazoa, Chordata, Aves, Passeriformes, Passerellidae.